Molecule: long non-coding RNA, 1858 nt
Organism: Carassius gibelio (silver crucian carp)
Lineage: Eukaryota; Metazoa; Chordata; Actinopteri; Cypriniformes; Cyprinidae
Exons: 5
Source: RefSeq, a predicted model, not a curated record
AUAGAUAAACAGAAUAUUAAAUUUUGGUAAAUGUAAAGGCAACCAAACAGGCGUCACAAUUCACAGUCUCAUUGGGGACCGUCUUUUACACUUUCUCAAUCCUUGACUCUUGGUCAGGAGCCCUUGGUGUCAAUCUUUAGUUUGUCCAUUUAGUGCAGUUUUUCCAUGUGCAGGGUAUUUCACUGCUUUCAUUAAGAUAACUUUGCAUCAACAGACAAACGCUGUGGACAGGGACAUUUAUUACGUCAGUUUUGAUGUCUUUUAUCUCAAACUCAAUUCAGCUGUAUUUUAUGAUGACUGUGUUUAUGGAGUGGAAUCAUUUUCAGCAAUUAAUACCUCAAUGUUGAAACUUUUCACAUAAACGUAUUGUAUGACUUCAGAAGACUUUGAAUACAACACAAAUAGUUUUUAAUACUUUUAUAAUCUUUCUAGCACUAAAUGCCCUUGAGUGUAAAAAAAAAUAAAAAUUCCCUGAUUAUUUUUCAAGCUACAUAAUCUAAAAGCAAACCAAUCCCAGUCAAAGUGACUUGUUUUAAAGAAUCCCCACAUCCCCCAGUUCCCCCAGCAGCGUCUGGUAAACUGAUUGUGCUCUCUUCUUAUAUGCUAAUAACACUAAUGUCUCCACAUUAUCACCUGCCCCUUCACAGCAACAGUACCAACAGUAUCCGGGCUAACUGAGUCUCAUCCAAUCACGCUCCAGAUAUCUGGGUGGGGUUAUAUAUAUAUACUGUUUUUCUGACAAAAUCUACAUUGAAUUUUUUAUUUUUUUGUGAAGUAAAAUUCUAAAACCUUGAAGGACAAACUGCUUUUUGAAAUUCCUACAUUGCCUACAAGGGACCACAUACAACAAAGCCUACUAAGGCCAUUUCUCAUCUCUUUUUUCCAUUCAAGACUGAAAAGGAAAAUGAGACCCAGAAGAGUCUGUCCUGAAAAGGAAGCUUUGAAAUUCAUGGCAUCUGGGAAAGAUAAAGACAUAUUUCAGUCAAGAGUCAAGAGAAAGAUUGUUGAUGAACAGAAAAGAGCACAUUUGUGUGCAUUUGUGACCACAAACAUCACUACAGGAGAAGAAAUGAUGUUCGACUGCGGAGAUCCUGACAGCUCAUGGAGACAGGUAGCAGGAUGCUUGGUCCAUUACAGACGGAUGGGCAACACCCUCAUCAGACAACUACACCCUACACCCAGGAUCCACUUGGUCUGUCUCUACAUGUCAGAACGAGUAACUUCAGUCUUCAAUGGGAUGAAAGACUAUCUUAAGCAGAAUGAUGAGCAAAUCAGUGGAAGAGCAUCCUACUAUUGAGGAAUGCCUUCAGGAAGCCGGAACUAUGUGCAAAGACUUAUUGUAGAGUUUACAAUAAGCAUUCAAAUGAUUGGAUAUAAGUAUUAGUGUGAAUUUACAGGUUUGAUCACCAGUCUUAUCAAAUAUCAGCCACAAACAGCUACAGCUCAGGAAAGACUUCAGUCUUCAGUCUUGGACACAUUAGUAAAUCACUAGUGCCAUUAAAUCAAAACGCAAGAGCCAGAAAGCCCUGGUCAGAAACAGAGAGGAAACUCAUAGAACACUGUUUCAAGAUCUACUUGGAGGAAAUGAAGGCUCCUGGAAAAGUGGACUGUGAAAGAUGCAUAAAUGCAAACAGGAUUCUAAAGGACAAUGGAAGAGACUGGAAAACAGUUAAAUACUUUGUGCUCAACAGAAUAAUUUCAGUUAAGAGAAGUUUGGGUGAACAGUACUGAGCCCAUGAACCCUGAGAGCUUGUGAUGUGGAGUAUCAGUGUUGAGUCCUAACUGUGCUGGGACACUGAAGGUCCAUGUACAUGCAGCAUCAGUGCGUCAUAACAUUGAAAUGAUUGACUACAGCUGC